GAAAAGGACUUUGCUGACCCCAGGCAAAUGAAACCAUACAAGGUGGAAGCUCAAAGCUCCGAUGAGUGGUGACCACCCUGCAGGACCUCGUUUACACAUGAGAUCUAAAAUAGCAUGGCCAUCCACACCAACUUACAGUCUGCUAACAAGCCCAGGGAAACCUACCUUAAAUCCAGAUCACUUGAUGUGGGAAGACCCAUCCUAAAUAUGAGCCAUACCUUCUGGUAGAAGCCUGCAUGAAGGAGAUGGAAGAAGGAAGCACUUGUUCUUUGCUUGAUUGCCCUCACUCUCAAUGGUAGCACACAGAAGUGGACAGCUGCAGCAUUACAACCACUGGGACAACCCCGAAAAAUGCUUGUGAAGGAAGACCUUCACAGUUGGCAGAACAUUGGCCUACACAUGUGGUUAUACAUUUUGCUUAGAAGGAGAGAUGGCCAGAUCUGUGAUUCUUUACUGAUUCAUAGUCUAUAGGUAGCCAAUGACUGGCUGGAUGGUCAGGGAUUUGGAAAUAGUGUGAUUGAAAAAUUGGUGAGAAAGACUUCUGGGGAAGCAGCAUGUGGACAGAUCUCUUUGGAUGGGUAAAAGAUGUGAAGAUACCUGUAUCCUGUGUAAAUGAUUUUCGAAAGGUGACUUCAACAAUCAAGUAGACAGGAUGACCCACUCUCUGGACAGACAGCCUCUUUCUCCAGCCUUUUCUGUCAUUGCCCAGUGGGCCAAAAACAAAGUGGCCAUGGUAGCAGUGAAGGCUACGGAUGGGCUUGACAACAUGGACU
RNAcentral lists this long non-coding RNA (773 nucleotides) under Cricetulus griseus (Chinese hamster). Its description in RNAcentral is "lncRNA (ENSCGRG00015040819.1)". Lineage: Eukaryota; Metazoa; Chordata; Mammalia; Rodentia; Cricetidae. The record is from RNAcentral.